GAUGAACGCUGGCGGCGUGCCUAAUACAUGCAAGUAGAACGCUGAAGGAGGAGCUUGCUCUUCUGGAUGAGUUGCGAACGGGUGAGUAACGCGUAGGUAACCUGCCUGGUAGCGGGGGAUAACUAUUGGAAACGAUAGCUAAUACCGCAUGACAACAGUUAUUGCAUGAUAACUGUUUAAAAGGGGCAACUGCUCCACUACCAGAUGGACCUGCGUUGUAUUAGCUAGUUGGUGAGGUAACGGCUCACCAAGGCGACGAUACAUAGCCGACCUGAGAGGGUGAUCGGCCACCCUGGGACUGAAACACGGCCCAGACUCCUACGGGAGGCAGCAGUAGGGAAUCUUCGGCAAUGGACGGAAGUCUGACCGAGCAACGCCGCGUGAGUGAAGAAGGUUUUCGGAUCGUAAAGCUCUGUUGUAAGAGAAGAACGAGUGUGAGAGUGGAAAGUUCACACUGUGACGGUAUCUUACCAGAAAGGGACGGCUAACUACGUG
RNAcentral lists this ribosomal RNA (495 nucleotides) under uncultured bacterium. RNAcentral describes it as "partial 16S ribosomal RNA". It matches the Rfam family "Bacterial small subunit ribosomal RNA", at positions 28 to 507 of the family's 1533-position model. The record is from RNAcentral.